RNAcentral lists this ribosomal RNA (433 nucleotides) under uncultured bacterium. Its description in RNAcentral is "partial 16S ribosomal RNA". It matches the Rfam family "Bacterial small subunit ribosomal RNA", at positions 29 to 507 of the family's 1533-position model. The record is from RNAcentral.
AGCGAACGCUGGCGGCAGGCCUAACACAUGCAAGUCGAACGAACUCUUCGGAGUUAGUGGCGGACGGGUGAGUAACACGUGGGAACGUGCCUUUUGGUUCGGAAUAACUCAGGGAAACUUGUGCUAAUACCGAAUGUGCCCUUCGGGGGAAAGAUUUAUCGCAAUUAGAGCGGCCCGCGUCUGAUUAGCUAGUUGGUGAGGUAACGGCUCACCAAGGCGACGAUCAGUAGCUGGUCUGAGAGGAUGACCAGCCACACUGGGACUGAGACACGGCCCAGACUCCUACGGGAGGCAGCAGUGGGGAAUCUUGCGCAAUGGGCGAAAGCCUGACGCAGCCAUGCCGCGUGAAUGAUGAAGGUCUUAGGAUUGUAAAAUUCUUUCACCGGGGACGAUAAUGACGGUACCCGGAGAAGAAGCCCCGGCUAACUUCGUG